This 85-nucleotide transfer RNA is filed under the name Felis catus (domestic cat). It matches the Rfam family "tRNA". From Rfam's summary of the family: Transfer RNA (tRNA) molecules are approximately 80 nucleotides in length. Their secondary structure includes four short double-helical elements and three loops (D, anti-codon, and T loops). The record is from Rfam by way of RNAcentral. Lineage: Eukaryota; Metazoa; Chordata; Mammalia; Carnivora; Felidae.
GCCUGGGUGGCUCAGUCAGUCGAGCGUCCGACUUUAGCUCAGGUCAUGAUCUCGCGGGGCAUGGGUUCGAGCCCCGUGUCGGGCU